Molecule: ribosomal RNA, 782 nt
Filed under: Rimularia limborina
Lineage: Eukaryota; Fungi; Ascomycota; Lecanoromycetes; Trapeliales; Trapeliaceae
Description: partial small subunit ribosomal RNA
Rfam family: Bacterial small subunit ribosomal RNA
Source: RNAcentral
GUGCAGUAUCGACACUGUCGAAUAAAGUUCUAGGUAGAAUUUUGAUAAUGACAUUAUCUAUCUAUAUGUCUUGACCAAAUCAUGUGCCAGCAGUCGCGGUAAGACAUGGGAGACUAGUGUUAUUCAUCUUUAACAGGUUUAAAGGGUACUUAGACGGUUGAUUAAGCCCGUAAGGGUACUAAUGAACUAGAGUUUUAUGUGAGAAGGGGUGUACUAAAGAGUGUAGAGAUGAAAUUCAGUCAUACCUAAUUGGAACAGGCAACGGCGAAAGCGACCUUUUAUGUAAAAACUGACGUUGAAAGACGAAGGCCUUGGGACACCAACAGGAUUAGAUACCCCAGCAGUCCAGGCAGACAAUGAUGAAUGUCAUAGAUUAGAAAUAUAUUUUAUUCUAUAAAUGAAAGUGUAAGCAUUCCACCUCAAGAGUAAUGUGGCCACGCAGGAACUGAAAUCAUUAGACCGUUUCUGAAACCAGUAGUGAAGUAUGUUGUUUAAUUUGAUGAUCCGCAAAACACCUUACCACAAUUUGAAUAUUUUAUCUAGUAAAAAAAGAAAGUUGAAAAAUAAGAUUAAAAAAAGUUGACAAGUAGAUUUUUUUUUUUAUUUAUAAAAAUACAGGCGCUGCACGGCUGUCUUCAGUUCAUGUCGUGAGAUUUUGGUUAGUUCCAUUAAAUUUACGUAAACCCUUACUUUAUUUAUUAUUAUAGAGUAGCUCCCCAUUAUAUUGGAUGAGAUAAAAGGGACUAAGGCAAGUCAAUAUGGCCUUAAUAUUGUGGGCUAUA